AUGAAGUUCAAUAGAGAUCGGCGCCGCAGCCGUGAUUCGAAGAAAGCAGCUUGUUAUGGGGAGGAAAGGCUAAGCGAGCUGCCAAGUGAUGUUGUGGUCAAAGUCCGUGAGACGGUGAAAACACAGUCGAAGAAAGCAGCUGGUAAUGGGGAGGAAAGGUUACGCAAGCUGCCCAAUGAUGUGCUGGUCAACAACAUCCUCGAGACGGUGGAAACACAGUCUGCCAAAACAGCUGGUAAUGCGGAGGACAGGCUAAGCAAGCUGCCCAAUGAUUUGCUGCUCAACAUCCUCGAGAGAGUUGGUACCCUUGAUGCUGUAAGAACCUGCAUCCUUUCGAAGAAAAUGCAGAAGCUGCCAACUAUGCUCUCGCAAAUUGUAAUUGAUCUUAGCCCUCGUGAUUUGGUUCAAAUGGAUGGUGUUGUGGCUGAUGUGACGGAUAAGAUCCUUAGUACGAGGUCUCCACAGAUCACCGUUCGCAAGCUGAAGCUCAAAUUUUUCUUGGUUCCCUCUCGCUGUCUCUCCAUCGGAAAAUCGGUCGGCCUCGCCAUGGCGACCCAGAAGUUGGAUGCAGCUGAGUUUGAGAUCAUGCCACUGAGGGAUAACGGAUGUUGCACUGAUGCCCAUCGCCUGCUCUUUGGUCAGCAGUUCAAUGAUUUUGUUCGUGAUUGCCAGGAUGCAUUUGCUGGUCUCACGCGGCUGGAUCUACGGUUUUUGAGGUUUGGUGAAUCGGACAUACCCAACAUUCUUAGCACCUGCAAGCAGCUCGAGUCCCUGUCUUUCUUCGAGUGUGAUGGGGGGUUCCGCUCGGUGCUGCAUGUAGAACACGCUCGACUCGUUGAGCUUGUUAUCACCUUUGGGGAAUUUAAAACAGUGGUGCUUGACUGUCUACCAAAGCUCCAGCGGAUGACCUACAAUCAUUGGCCCUGUGAUGAAAAUCCCUUGGUUCUUGGUUUUGUCCCUCAGCUUUGGAAGCUCAGUCUUGCUAAUGCAAACCUUUCAGGCAAGAUCCUCAACUUAAGCAAGCUGCUUGCUAGUGCCCCCACAGUAAGCGAUUUGUAUCUGGACUUUGUAAGCGAAAAGAUUUGGGUUCAACCAGAAUGCCCAAAAGUCCUUGCUCCUGUGCUUGCCAAACUCCGAUUUCUGAAGCUGGAUCACCACCCCGAAGAAUGUGAUAUCUCUUGGACAAUGUUCGUUCUUGAAGCUGCACCACACGUAGAGGAGCUCUGCAUUACAGUAUGGGACCAUAAGUGCCGAAUGGAGUCACAAAAGAGUUUGUCCGAAAUAUCGGAUGUGAAGUGGGAGCCAUCUGAUCCUCAUUUUAAGCACAAGAAUCUGGCGAGGCUAAUUAUCUAUGGCUUCCAGUCCGAUGACAAUUUCACGGGAUAUGUCAUGCGUGUAAUUCAAGCUGCGGUGAACAUCAGGGAGGUAUCCCUACACGACAGGAAGGUGUGCGAAUUUUGUGCCGAGAAGUUCCCUCACAUGGAGGUUCGUCCUUCGAGUUAUCCACGGACCAGCGAGGAGGUGGAUUUGUUGAGGAAGAAGAUGACAGCAGGGUCAGCGACGGCUUCUCCUGAUAUCCACUUCCGCUCAUAA
This 1593-nucleotide ribosomal RNA is filed under the name Triticum aestivum (bread wheat). Its description in RNAcentral is "partial small subunit ribosomal RNA". The record is from RNAcentral. Lineage: Eukaryota; Viridiplantae; Streptophyta; Magnoliopsida; Poales; Poaceae.